RNAcentral lists this ribosomal RNA (293 nucleotides) under uncultured bacterium. RNAcentral describes it as "partial 16S ribosomal RNA". It matches the Rfam family "Bacterial small subunit ribosomal RNA", at positions 373 to 659 of the family's 1533-position model. The record is from RNAcentral.
GGGCGCAGCCUGAUCCAGCCAUGCCGCGUGAGUGAAGAAGGCCUUCGGGUUGUAAAGCUCUUUCGGCGGGGAAGAAAUGGUGUGGGUUAAUACCCUGUGUUGAUGACGGUACCUGAAGAAUAAGCACCGGCUAACUACGUGCCAGCAGCCGCGGUAAUACGUAGGGUGCGAGCGUUAAUCGGAAUUACUGGGCGUAAAGCGUGCGCAGGCGGUUUUGUAAGACAGAUGUGAAAUCCCCGGGCUUAACCUGGGAACUGCAUUUGUGACUGCAAGGCUGGAGUUUGGCAGAGGGA